GGUACAGUGGUCGAGAGGUUAAGACGCUGGAUGCAGGUUCCAGUUCCCUUGUGGAGCGCAGGUUCGAACCCUGUCUGUGCCG
This 82-nucleotide transfer RNA is filed under the name Diutina rugosa. RNAcentral's name for it is "Candida rugosa tRNA". It matches the Rfam family "tRNA". Rfam says of the family: Transfer RNA (tRNA) molecules are approximately 80 nucleotides in length. Their secondary structure includes four short double-helical elements and three loops (D, anti-codon, and T loops). RNAcentral also lists the same sequence under 1 other name. Lineage: Eukaryota; Fungi; Ascomycota; Pichiomycetes; Serinales; Debaryomycetaceae. The record is from Rfam by way of RNAcentral.